RNAcentral lists this ribosomal RNA (500 nucleotides) under uncultured bacterium. Its description in RNAcentral is "bacterial SSU rRNA". It matches the Rfam family "Bacterial small subunit ribosomal RNA", at positions 28 to 507 of the family's 1533-position model. The record is from RNAcentral.
GACGAACGCUGGCGGCGUGCCUAAUACAUGCAAGUCGAGCGGAAUGAUGAAGAAGCUUGCUUCUUCUGAUUUUAGCGGCGGACGGGUGAGUAACACGUGGGCAACCUACCUUGUAGAUUGGGAUAACUCCGGGAAACCGGGGCUAAUACCGAAUAAUCCAUUUUGCUUCAUGGCGAGAUGUUGAAAGACGGUUUCGGCUGUCACUACAGGAUGGGCCCGCGGCGCAUUAGCUAGUUGGUAGGGUAAUGGCCUACCAAGGCGACGAUGCGUAGCCGACCUGAGAGGGUGAUCGGCCACACUGGGACUGAGACACGGCCCAGACUCCUACGGGAGGCAGCAGUAGGGAAUCUUCCACAAUGGACGAAAGUCUGAUGGAGCAACGCCGCGUGAGUGAAGAAGGUUUUCGGAUCGUAAAACUCUGUUGUAAGGGAAGAACACGUACGAGAGUAACUGCUCGUACCUUGACGGUACCUUAUUAGAAAGCCACGGCUAACUACGUG